Long non-coding RNA from Aquila chrysaetos chrysaetos, 2688 nucleotides. RefSeq lists it as uncharacterized. NCBI's taxonomy places the organism in Eukaryota, Metazoa, Chordata, Aves, Accipitriformes, Accipitridae. The record is from RefSeq and is a predicted model, not a curated record. The transcript is spliced from 8 exons.
GCUGUGGGGGCGCGCAUGCGCGGGGCGGUGCGCAGGCUCUUGCAGGCAGGCCGGGACUGGUUAUACCGAGACCUCGUGGCGCAACGGUAGCGCGUCUGACUCCAGAUCAGAAGGCUGCGUGUUCGAAUCACGUCGGGGUCACGGCUCCCUUCGGGGGUUCCCUUUUACGCCGGGCAAAGCGGGGCCGGUUUCGGGGCGCUACUCUCAAGGACACUGUAGGAAAACAAUUUUAGACGGAGUAAUUUUUCAGAGUUGCUAGAUUUCAACUGCUUUGAUACCAUUGGGAAAUACGCAAUCUUUUCAAUAUACAGAUCAUAGACAGAUGUGACCCCAAAGCGCUCAGGAAAUGUGAGCGGUAUUUGGUCCCAGGGGAUGCCAGAGUACCAUACGCGUGGGCGCUUGUGUUGUACAGACUCGGAGGGAACUUUGGCAACAGGCUUUGAGAGGAUAAACAAAGCUGAACCACCAGUAACUGGAGCACAGCUUUUAAACAAUCCUGGGUGAUGAUGCUUGUCUCUGGUGAUGCUACGUGAAGAGAAGGAUUUUUUUUUCCUUCCAGGUGAAGUUUCUUUCCAAUUGACUUAACUACUGGGUGUUGUGGGAAGUUAUGAUGUCAGAGAGUAGUUGCUAAUACCAAACAGUGGAGUAAGGGAAAGGAUACCCUUCCAGCACCCUCUCUCACUGCUUUAAUUAGCAAUCAGGACUCCAGCUGAUUCUGAGAGAAGACAGAAGUACUGGAGUAACCUUUGAAACAAAAGACUUCAAAGUGACAGCAGCCUGUGCCUCUGGCUAUGCUGAAAUGAGUGGAACGUCUAGCGAUGGAACUGAUGAAGAUGACCGAGGUGAAGCAUGCUUUUCUGAUUCUUUGCCUCCCAGGGGAAUCAGAUCCAGCAGGAAAAGGCCAAAGAAAGAGAGGAGGCAGUCACCAGCUCAGAAGAAUAUGAAGACAGCUGAAGUGGAAAAAAAGAGACAUUGAUGCUGGAAACUGGGAAGAACUGAGCAGAAAUAGCACAGGAAGAGAUCACUCAAAGUUUGAUACCCACACACGCCUGUGAGGAUCGCGAUAUUUGCCAUCUUUGUGUUUGUGAUCUUCGUGCAUAUCAUUAAUGGAGGCUAAUACAACUAGUCUGCUCAUAAACCUCAUUCUGCGAAGAAAAUAAGAGCACUGUCCUGAUGACAUAAGCGGCAUUUAGUGGUGACUACAAAACCAAAGAAUGCACUUCUUUCUCCCUGCUACUUGUGAACAAGCUCUGCAGGCAGUGAAUUAAAAGGCUAGUAGGAGGGUGAAAACAGCCUGUGACUUGUCUUUGUCUGGUGUUCACUAUAUACAGUAGCUCCUAACUCUUGGAAAUGUGACGUGCUAUACUGUUUCUCCUUUGCUGAAGCCGUGUUCGCACAUUUUGUGCCCCAGCUAGAGAGUUUAAUCAGUCGGAGGUGUUGGGAGUUCUGCAUGGCUUGGUUUUUCUGAAGCUGCCUGUGGCUGGAAUUACUGCAUCGUUGAGAACUUACAGCUUCUCUGUGCUCUGGUUAUCUUAUAUCGGAGAAACAGCAGAUAUAAAUUAAGGGAACAAAUUGCUUGCCAAUCUGGCAAGACAGGGAAUUGCUCUAGUGUAAUGCAAGCCAUGAGGGAUCAAAGGAGGAGUUACUAUAUCUUAACCACUUCUGGAAAAACGUUCUUGCCCCUUCAAGUCUAUAAAUGUUACUGAAAAGGGGAGAAUGGUGGAAGUGAGGAUCUCCCAUUGUUGGCCUGCUACUCUUCAUCUGAGGAGGACCUGAUUUUGUGUGCAAUGUUCUCAUAAAUCAUGACACUCAAAUUUAAAUGACUUACGGGUUAAGAUCAAGCUGAGGCCUUUCAGUAUCUUUUCACAGGAGAAAUGCAGAACUUUGAGCCUGGCACGUAAUCUGAAGAAAAGCACUGCAGCACCCUAAAAUUGCUGAAGGCAUUUGAUUUAAAAACUGCUGGUUUUUUCCUGUUGUCUGUGCCAGCUUUGCCAAGAAAGAAAAUUUCAUUUCCCUAGAUUUGACGCUUUGGUUUAAGAGGAAAAUCCUCCCUGCAGACACCCCAGGAUGGGCAGCAGCUGGGGCUGGGAGAUGUCUGGAGAAUGGAAGCUAGAGAAGACAAGCCUUGGUUAGGUGGGUGAGGCAAUCUCAUCUUCCCUCUGCGUCUGCCUUGUUCUUUCUGGGGAUGGUUUUUCUCUGCUGCUGCAGCGAUCUGAGCAGCUCAGGAUCUACUCGUCGCUUCCCUUGGCUUUACUGGCCUUCAGCUACAUGGAACUGUGCUUAAGAUCUUGCAGGUGCAGAAGCAAUUUUGCAGCCAGUCUGUAAGGAGCAGGGGAACAUCUAGGGGAGACACUGGUCAGAGGUGCUUGCCAAGCAGUCACAGUCCAGCCAAGCUCAAAAUGAAUUGCUGCGGAUGGACACGUGGAGGGUUUUGGUGACUCGUCACAAAAGCCUCAUGUGACAGAGCCAAGAAUAGAACUUAAUCCAGGGAGAAUUGGGCAAAAGUAUGUUGUUACAGAUAUGUUUGCCCAUGAAUUUAGCUUUGGGGAUCAGCAAAACAAAGAGAAAAAUUCUGAGAAAUUGGAGUGUUUCAUUAUGGCAACCUUUGAAACAGCAUCUUGACUUCUGAAAGCAUUUAAUUUUCAAACUGGUCUUUUUUUUCUUUUUAAAGCACAAAAUGCUUCGACA